AGAGUUUGAUCCUGGCUCAGAGCGAACGCUGGCGGCGUACUUAACACAUGCAAGUCGAACGAGGAUCAUCAGUGUAGCAAUACAUUGGUGGUCCUAGUGGCGCACGGGUGAGUAACACGUGGGUAACCUGCCCUUGAGCUCGGGAUACCCCCUCGAAAGGGGGGCUAAUACCGGAUACGUUCCUCGGAUCGACAGGUCUGGGGAGGAAAGGUGGCGCAAGCUGCCGCUCUUGGAGGGGCUCGCGGCCUAUCAGCUAGUUGGCGGGGUAACGGCCCACCAAGGCUAUGACGGGUAGCUGGUCUGAGAGGACGACCAGCCACACGGGGACUGAGACACGGCCCCGACUCCUACGGGAGGCAGCAGUGGGGAAUUUUCCGCAAUGGGCGAAAGCCUGACGGAGUGACGCCGCGUGUGGGACGAAGGCCUUCGGGUCGUAAACCACUGUCAGUGGGAAAGAAGGGUGUCGGUGCUAAUACCAUCGGCAUUUGACGGUACCUGCAGAGGAAGCCCCGGCCAACUCUGUGCCAGCAGCCGCGGUAAGACAGAGGGGGCAAGCGUUGCUCGGAAUUACUGGGCGUAAAGGGCGCGUAGGCGGGAUGGCAAGUCGGUCGUGAAAUCCUUCGGCUCAACCGAAGAACGUCGAUCGAUACUGCUGUUCUUGAGGGUUGCAGAGGAGACUGGAAUUCCCGGUGUAGCGGUGAAAUGUGUAGAGAUCGGGAGGAACACCGGUGGCGAAGGCGGGUCUCUGGGCAAUUCCUGACGCUGAGGCGCGAAAGCGUGGGGAGCAAACGGGAUUAGAUACCCUAGUAGUCC
RNAcentral lists this ribosomal RNA (813 nucleotides) under uncultured bacterium. RNAcentral's name for it is "bacterial SSU rRNA". It matches the Rfam family "Bacterial small subunit ribosomal RNA", at positions 8 to 796 of the family's 1533-position model. The record is from RNAcentral.